This 465-nucleotide ribosomal RNA is filed under the name uncultured bacterium. RNAcentral's name for it is "partial 16S ribosomal RNA". It matches the Rfam family "Bacterial small subunit ribosomal RNA", at positions 28 to 507 of the family's 1533-position model. The record is from RNAcentral.
GACGAACGCUGGCGGCGUGCUUAACACAUGCAAGUCGAACGGAAAGGCCCCCUUGUGGGGUACUCGAGUGGCGAACGGGUGAGUAACACGUGAGUAACCUACCCUUGACUUUGGGAUAACUUCAGGAAACUGGGGCUAACACCGGAUAGGAGCUCCUGCUGCAUGGUGGGGGUUGGAAAGUUUCGGCGGUUGGGGAUGGACUCGCGGCUUAUCAGCUUGUUGGUGGGGUAGUGGCUCACCAAGGCUUUGACGGGUAGCCGGCCUGAGAGGGUGACCGGCCACAUUGGGACUGAGAUACGGCCCAGACUCCUACGGGAGGCAGCAGUGGGGAAUAUUGCACAAUGGGCGGAAGCCUGAUGCAGCAACGCCGCGUGCGGGAUGACGGCCUUCGGGUUGUAAACCGCUUUCGCCUGUGACGAAGCGUGAGUGACGGUAAUGGGUAAAGAAGCACCGGCUAACUACGUG